GCUAUGGUAGUGUAGUGGUUAGCAUGUCUGCCUUGUAAGCAGGAGACCUGUGUUCAAGUCCCAGCUGUGGCA
Molecule: non-coding RNA, 72 nt
Organism: Schistocerca americana (American grasshopper)
Lineage: Eukaryota; Metazoa; Arthropoda; Insecta; Orthoptera; Acrididae
Source: the annotation of a RefSeq genome assembly